GCAAGUCUGGUGCCAGCAGCCGCGGUAAUUCCAGCUCCAAUAGCGUAUAUUAAAGUUGUUGCAGUUAAAAAGCUCGUAGUUGAAUUUCGGGGUCAGUAGGUUGGUCGUGCCACUGGUAUGUACUGGCUUCACUGAUUCCUCCUUCCUGAUGAGCCGUAAUGCCAUUAAUUUGGUGUUGCGAGGAGUCUGGACUGUUACUUUGAAAAAAUUAGAGUGUUAAAGCAGGCUAACGCUUGAAUACAUUAGCAUGGAAUAAUGAAAUAGGACGUUCGAUCUUAUUUUGUUGGUUUCUAAGAUUGACGUAAUGAUUAAUAGGGAUAGUUGGGGGCAUUAGUAUUCAAUUGUCAGAGGUGAAAUUCUUGGAUUUAUUGAAGACUAACUACUGCGAAAGCAUUUGCCAAGGAUGUUUUCAUUAAUCAAGAACGAAAGUUAGGGGAUCGAAGACGAUCAGAUACCGUCGUAGUCUUAACCAUAAACUAUGCCGACUAGGGAUCGGAUGAUGUUAAUUUUUUAAUACUCAUUCGGCGCCUUACGGGAAAC
Molecule: ribosomal RNA, 540 nt
Filed under: uncultured Glomus
Lineage: Eukaryota; Fungi; Glomeromycota; Glomeromycetes; Glomerales; Glomeraceae
Description: SSU rRNA
Rfam family: Eukaryotic small subunit ribosomal RNA
Source: RNAcentral